Molecule: long non-coding RNA, 763 nt
Filed under: Dermacentor andersoni
Lineage: Eukaryota; Metazoa; Arthropoda; Arachnida; Ixodida; Ixodidae
Description: uncharacterized LOC126543160
Source: RNAcentral
CGCCGAAGCCACAUGAGCAGCCCAAUGUAUGUACACAAACAAAGGGUCCACCACAUCGGGCCCGACGCGCGCUGGCAGAGAAGCCGCAUGUGCGCCGGGGGGCUCGGCGCCCUGUCCUAUCUUUAGGUCGCGACGCGCACCCUCCUCACCCAAGGACGGGCGGGGACGACGCGCCUCGCGGGUAUGGUUUUCAAACUCUCCACGCCAGCCGGCCGGAAGUGAGCUGGGCCAAGUUGAAGGCCGUCACACGGGGUUCCGCACUGGGGUCACGCUGUCCCGGUCCAGACUCCAGCCAUAUGCAGCCCCGGCUGCAGGCUCUCAAAGCCAGAAAUGACCGCAGUACGGACAGCCGCUUCGCACGGCAGACUCGCGGCAUGCAGCACGGCAGCGAAAUCAAGCUGACAAGCAAUUAGAGGAAAUUCUCAGGAUGCACGAACCACAGCCUACAAGCGCCAAUUUUCUGUUAACCAACCCCCAUAUGCCGAGUAUACAAGGAAGAGGGCACUCAAGAAGUUGAACGCAACCCAGCAGUCAUCUGCGCGGAGUGUCCUCGGUGGAGGUCAUUGGGAUGAAAGCCAAGAAGUCUUCUUAGAACUAAGACGCAUAAUGAGCUCAUUAAACUCGUCACCAGAAACAGUCCAACAACUGCAGACAUCCUAAUGAAGCCAUACUUGCACGCACCUCACAGGCAGAAGUGGCACAGAGACCUUGACCGAUGUUCCCAUGAAAAAAAACAAGGGAAAAAAAAGGAAAAGCAGACACA